Molecule: ribosomal RNA, 497 nt
Filed under: uncultured bacterium
Lineage: Bacteria
Description: partial 16S ribosomal RNA
Rfam family: Bacterial small subunit ribosomal RNA
Source: RNAcentral
GAUGAACGCUGGCGGCGUGCCUAAUACAUGCAAGUCGAGCGAACAGACGAGGAGCUUGCUCCUCUGACGUUAGCGGCGGACGGGUGAGUAACACGUGGAUAACCUACCUAUAAGACUGGGAUAACUUCGGGAAACCGGAGCUAAUACCGGAUAAUAUAUUGAACCGCAUGGUUCAAUAGUAAAAGACGGUUUUGCUGUCACUUAUAGAUGGAUCCGCGCCGCAUUGGCUAGUUGGUAAGGUAACGGGUUACCAAGGCAACGAUGCGUAGCCGACCUGAGAGGGUGAUCGGCCACACUGGAACUGAGACACGGUCCAGACUCCUACGGGAGGCAGCAGUAGGGAAUCUUCCGCAAAGGGCGAAAGCCUGACGGAGCAACGCCGCGUGAGUGAUGAAGGUCUUCGGAUCGUAAAACUCUGUUAUUAGGGAAGAACAAAUGUGUAAGUAACUAUGCACGUCUUGACGGUACCUAAUCAGAGAGCCACGGCUAACUACGUG